This 1215-nucleotide long non-coding RNA is filed under the name Monodelphis domestica (gray short-tailed opossum). Its description in RNAcentral is "lncRNA (ENSMODG00000041734.1)". Lineage: Eukaryota; Metazoa; Chordata; Mammalia; Didelphimorphia; Didelphidae. The record is from RNAcentral.
UUAUAGCUCCAAAUUCUAGCACCAUGCCUGGUACAUACCAGAAGCUUAGUAAAUAACUACAGAGGGGAACUUUAAAUGCUAGAGAAAUUAGUUUAUACUUUAUCCCAAAAGCAAGAGGAGCAAUGAAAAUUUUUUGAGUGAAUUAAUAUUUUGGCAGUAUAGAGGACAGCCUGGAAAGUAGGGAGAUUGGAAGCAGGGUGAUGAAUUGAAGAAUGUCAGGUAAGAAGUGAUAAGGGCCAGAUCCAAAACAGUAACCAUGAAAUUGGAAAAAGGAGAAAAGAGAAGGGGGGAAAGAGGUGCUGCCAAAUCUGUCCUGCAGAAAUCCCUGAAGAGUGCAAAGCAAUGGAUUCUAUGCCUAGAGAUGGGAGGUCCUAGGUUCAAACUGGCCUCAAAUACUUCCCAGCUGUGCAGGUCAAUUAACCCCCAUCACCUAUUCCUUACUGCUCUUCUGCCUUGAAAGCAAUGCACAGUAUUGAUUCUAAGAUGGAAGGUAAGAGUUUUGUUGUUUUUUUUUAAUUAAGUCUUAUGAGGAAGGUACUUCUGGUACUAUAUCCCCAUUUACAGGUGACUAAACUGAAUUUCAGAGAGAUUAAAUUAUUUUUCCAUGAUAGAACAGCUAAGGAAGAAGGGCAGAACUUGAAUCUAUAAAAUGCUGACUUUCUAUUCUUUUAGUCUAGUAUUAUCUAUUGUAUCACACUGCCCUCACUUUAUAGAAUAGGAAAAUAUCAGGCUGUAAAGUUUGUUUGAGCCAAAAUGGAAGAGCCUUAAAAGCCAGGUUUAAGGAAAAAAGUGGUCUUUUGGCAAUUAGAGAAAGGUAAUUGAGAAAUCCAUGAAUUUUAUGUAUCAAGUGGAGGUAGAACAGGGCUGAUAAAUAACUGAUAUAUAAGCUAAAUAUAUAACUCGUGCUUCAUUGACCUUUUCUUGUUCCAUAGAAAUGCUCCUUUAGAUAAACUGUGGGAGUAGAAACACCGAGGAAAAGUAACUGACAGACUACAGCUGUUGAGGGGACAUGUCAGAGGAGAGCCUUUAAAGGAACCCUUUAAUGCAAAUACUAACAACAUGGCAAGGGGUUUGAAUCAAGAACCCAUGUGAUCCCCAGGGGAAUCAUGCUUCAGUUUUGGGGGGGGGGGGGGGAGAAAAUGAUCUUUGUCUCUAAUGAAUAAUGCUUGGAAAUGAUCAAAUAAAAUAUUAUUUAAAAAAAAAAAGAAGAGACUU